UCCUUAGGACGUGCGUCUCCUAUUGGUGAAACUAUUCUUAUGAAGUGCGUCUCCUGUUGGUGAAAUAAACUUAGGAGGAAAUUCAUCUCCUAUGGGUGAAACUAAAACAAACUUAGGAGGAAAUGCAUCUCCUAUGGUUGAAACUAAACUUAGGAAGUGUGUCUCCUGUUAUAACCUUCUGCCUUCCGAUGGGGUUACUGAUUUCAAAAUCUGAAGUAUUAGACUCAAAAGUAUUCCUCUCGUUAUACAGGUGGGCGCCUGACAUGAAAUGUAAAGACUGAAAAGUAUUCCUCUCGUUAUACAGGUGGGCGCCUAAUAUGAAAUGUAAAGACUGAAAAAUAUUCUUCUCGUUAUUCAGGUGGGCGCCUGCCAUAUGAAAUGAACAGACAAAAAAGUAUUCCUCUCGUUAUUCAGGUGGGCGCCUAUCUUCAACAACAACUUUGAAAAUAAAAUCCUAUUCGAGGGCGGAUGAACCCAACAUAUCCUAUUUGAGGGCGGAUGAACCCAACAUAUCCUAUUCGAGGGCGGAUGAACCCGACAUAUCCUAUUUGAGGGCGGAUGAACC
This 565-nucleotide long non-coding RNA is filed under the name Nicotiana tabacum (common tobacco). RNAcentral describes it as "long non-coding RNA (NTAB_LNC019399)". The record is from RNAcentral. Lineage: Eukaryota; Viridiplantae; Streptophyta; Magnoliopsida; Solanales; Solanaceae.